AACGAACGCUGGCGGCAUGCCUAACACAUGCAAGUCGAACGAGACCUUCGGGUCUAGUGGCGCACGGGUGCGUAACGCGUGGGAACCUGCCCUUAGGUUCGGAAUAACUCCCCGAAAGGGGUGCUAAUACCGGAUAAUGUCUUCGGACCAAAGAUUUAUCGCCUUUGGAUGGGCCCGCGUUGGAUUAGCUAGUUGGUAGGGUAAAAGCCUACCAAGGCGACGAUCCAUAGCUGGUCUGAGAGGAUGAUCAGCCACACUGGGACUGAGACACGGCCCAGACUCCUACGGGAGGCAGCAGUGGGGAAUAUUGGAAAAUGGGCGAAGGCAUGAUCCAGCAAUGCCGCGUGAGUGAUGAAGGCCUUAGGGUUGUAAAGCUCUUUUACCCGGGAUGAUAAUGACAGUACCGGGAGAAUAAGCUCCGGCUAACUCCGUG
RNAcentral lists this ribosomal RNA (433 nucleotides) under uncultured bacterium. Its description in RNAcentral is "partial 16S ribosomal RNA". It matches the Rfam family "Bacterial small subunit ribosomal RNA", at positions 29 to 507 of the family's 1533-position model. The record is from RNAcentral.